AGUGAACGCUGGCGGUAGGCCUAACACAUGCAAGUCGAACGGCAGCACAGUAAGAGCUUGCUCUUACGGGUGGCGAGUGGCGGACGGGUGAGGAAUACAUCGGAAUCUACUUUUUCGUGGGGGAUAACGUAGGGAAACUUAAGCUAAUACCGCAUACGACCUACGGGUGAAAGCAGGGGAUCUUCGGACGUUGCGCGAUGGAAUGAGCCGAUGUCGGAUUAGCUAGUUGGCGGGGUAAAGGCCCACCAAGGCGACGAUCCGUAGCUGGUCUGAGAGGAUGAUCAGCCACACUGGAACUGAGACACGGUCCAGACUCCUACGGGAGGCAGCAGUGGGGAAUAUUGGACAAUGGGCGCAAGCCUGAUCCAGCCAUACCGCGUGGGUGAAGAAGGCCUUCGGGUUGUAAAACCCUUUUGUUGGGAAAGAAAAGCAGCAGUUUAAUCCCCCGCUGUUCUGACGGUACCCAAAGAAUAAGCACCGGCUAACUUCGUG
This 492-nucleotide ribosomal RNA is filed under the name uncultured bacterium. RNAcentral describes it as "partial 16S ribosomal RNA". It matches the Rfam family "Bacterial small subunit ribosomal RNA", at positions 29 to 507 of the family's 1533-position model. The record is from RNAcentral.